Molecule: long non-coding RNA, 2271 nt
Organism: Thunnus maccoyii (southern bluefin tuna)
Lineage: Eukaryota; Metazoa; Chordata; Actinopteri; Scombriformes; Scombridae
Exons: 2
Source: RefSeq, a predicted model, not a curated record
UCAACCUGUCUCUUAGAGACAGGUUGCUACUACUAGGCUGCUUAAGGAAGUCUUACCCUUAGCUAGCUUCUGUAUUCUGUAUUAACUUAUGUAUUAGAUAUGAUCAAUCUGUCUUUACUAACAGGCUAUGUACCUCAGUCCUUUAAUGUUGCUGUAAUUAAACCUCUUCUUAAGAAGCCUACUCUUGAUUCAGGCAUUUUAGCCAAUUAUAGACCCAUAUCUAAUCUUCCAUUUCUUUCUAAGAUCCUUGAGAAAGCAGUUGCUAGACUUUCUACAUAACUUUGAUUGUGUUAACUUAUCUUUGAUUCUUAAGGAAAAUAAGAGACAGACUCCCUGGAUUCCUAAGUUUAUAAGAGCAUACCCCCAGCCUGCAGAACUGACCUUUGUAACCCUCUAAGUGGGGGUUUGAUCAGUGAUGCUCAACAGACUCAGAAAACCUCCUAAGAAACUAUUUCGGUAAGUUGAAGUAUGAUACGAACUAAAAGCAUGAAAUGACCCUAAAAGCCACUUGGACCGGAGGAAAACGACUCCCACCUUAUAGAUGGAAGACAGGCUCUUAUCACCAAAGCCAUAAGCUAACCCACACCCUGAGGACUUUGUGAAGCCUCCCUGCAAAUCUGAGGCAAACCCGAAAUUAAUGUAAAUUAAAUGUCUAAUCAUUAUGCAACUUAUAUCAUGUUAUUUGUCAUGUAAAUACAAGAAAAAUGAUAUAACUUUCAUAGGUGUAUGACUAUCUACUAAAGAGAUAUAAGACUUUAUUAACCUUUUAUACUACAGGUAACAGUACUGCUCUCUAUUGACAAGAGUUAAACUCCCUUAUUUGAAGAGUUAAUGAAUGUUUGAUAAUCAUGUAUUUGUAUUUUAAAAUCAACCAAGUGUUUAACCUCAUAGACAAUCAUGUUUUAGUAGUUAAAUUAAAUAAGUAAUUGUGUUGAAAGAAUGAAGUUUCUGAGGUAAUAGGAAUAUAAAUAUAUAAUAUUUGAAGGAUUUGAGUUUAGAGUUUUCUUUUAUUGUUAAACAAUAGUCACAUUGAAUGGUUUUAUAUUAUGAAGUAAGGGUUAUGUUCAACUUAUAUUUAAAUAUGUUUCUGAAAGUAAUCCAAUCAGUAAUCUAAUAAGUGUUGCCUCACUUUAUUUCCUUUCACUAUAGUAUUAAACUUUAUUUCAGUAGAUGCUUUAAGAUGUGUAAAUAGUUUGAGAAAGUUGAAUCAAUGAAGGUUGUAUGCUUAGACAUGAAGUGUUAAUGUUUGUUAUUAAGAGAACGGACUUAUUAUGAAGCAUAUGUAAACUGCUUAACACUAGAACGGCCACGGCGGUCAUUUUGACCAUUUUAAAAUUUAUAUGUGCAAUAACUUUGUUGAAUAAAAAAAAUACAAUUCUGCUGGUGUAUGACUUUUCCUAAAAGAGUCUGUAUUUUCAUUCUAAAUGUUUUUUAUAUAAAUCACACAAAAGGCAAAGAAGAUAUGAUCAUUUCUACCUAUUUCGGCUAUAUGCGGUCAUUCAAGUUCAUCUUUCCCACGGUUAAUGUUGCAAUUUUGGUUGCUUAGCAACUGUCACUGUCACGUCACUAGCGGUCUCUAGUGAUACUUGCAAACACUAAUUUGCUAACAAAUACAAACAACUGUAUUUGUACGAUUGUAUUUAUCUACAUUGGAGUUAUAAGGAGACUUUAGACAAUGUCUGAAAUGAAUGAACGAAAGAAAAGAAAGAUGACAACUGCCAUGGCCUUGGAGAUGCUUCACAACUUGGACAGCAACGAUUCUGAUGGAGGGGAUCUGUCAGAGGUGGAAAGUGACAGCGACCUUUCCUAGGUGAAUGAAAAUACUUCAUCCUCAGAGAGUGAGUCAGAGUCAAUACCGAGGGAAAGGAGUCAGCUUUCAUCGGAGACUAUGGAUCCAGAUGUUCCGUUCACUGACGUACCAGCGCUGUUGUUCACACUACGAUACCUGACAGGCGUUGCACUCCUGCUGCACCUGCAGUGAAGUUAGCUCGGCACCAAGCCAGCAAACGUCAUCGAUUCUCUUAUGGUAAGUAACAUUAACGCUAACCUUAGUCUCUCUUGUUUUUGUUAUAUUCUCGCAUUUUUACACAGAUAUAUAUAUACUUUUAAUUGUAAUUGAACAAUUAAAAAUACGAUACUUUUAAUUGUUCAUGUUCUGAGUUAUGUUCAAUGAAUUCUCUACGGAAAAAUACUGGUGUGAAUAUAUGCAAUAAUUACGAUUUACGAUGUUAUGAAAAUUGAUAAAUGAGUAAUUAAACUUGUUAAAAUAUA